UUUUUGAAAGAUUUUCAGACUAUAACAUAGCCUUGCUCCUCAUAUGAUUCUCUCAAACCACUCAAUGUGUAUGGUUCCUUACCAAGGCUUUGAUUUGCCUCUUUUCUUCCUACUUCUAAUAAGGCUUUUUGUAGAGCUGAGGGUAGGGGAUGAAAAAAAAGCAUACUUGUAUUACAUAUUUUGCAAAGUCAAAAACUAGAUCCAAGGAGAAAACAAGUCAUACAAUCAGAUCAAGAUUGAACCUCAUCC
Molecule: long non-coding RNA, 249 nt
Filed under: Setaria viridis
Lineage: Eukaryota; Viridiplantae; Streptophyta; Magnoliopsida; Poales; Poaceae
Description: long non-coding RNA (SVIR_LNC006505)
Source: RNAcentral